This is a long non-coding RNA of Mustela lutreola (European mink), 250 nucleotides long. RefSeq lists it as uncharacterized. The transcript has 3 exons. The record is from RefSeq and is a predicted model, not a curated record. Lineage: Eukaryota; Metazoa; Chordata; Mammalia; Carnivora; Mustelidae.
GAGAUUUCCGCCCCACCGACUCAGAGCUCCAGACUGUGAAGCCUAGAUUGGUAUAGUUUCUCAUUUCAGGGUUGGGAGAAUGGAGCCACAAACCGUAGAUGUCAGAUCCACACCGCUCCACACUGCAUCUCUUGUCGCCCUAGCACCCCAAGUGGACUAAGUCAUUAUAAUAUAAACACUGAAUAUGGAUAUAGCAAGAAAUUGUGAAGAUGGAGAGAGCAAGCCAGCACAAGUAGGGGGAGUGGAAGAG